CUCACCCAAUAGGGAAAGGAAGGUUUUUUGGGGUUUAGGAAUUAUGCCACUUCACUCUCACUCUGCGACUGUGUAGGGUUUUAGACACUCCAUAAUCGCAUUCUCUCUUACUCUUUCUCGCUCUCUGUAUGUCUCUCCAGCAUGCAGGUGUUGAAAGGUAGCUGGAUUGGGCAAACUUCUGUUAUAGCCAAGGCCAAUGAGUCUGGAGGGAAGAAGACUCGUAUUCGUCGCUCAAAAGAGGAGAGGAAGGAAAUGGUGGAAUCUUUUAUAAAGAAAUUUCAAAGGCAGAAUGAUGGGAAUUUUCCAUCUCUUAGUCUCACACACAAGGAAGUUGGUGGAUCUUUUUAUACUGUUCGAGAGAUUGUCCGCGAGAUAAUUCAAGAAAAUAGAGUGCUUGGUCCUGCUAAGUUGACUCUUGAGGAGCAGAAAACUAAUGAGCUGGUGGAACAAUCUCCACUUGGUUCAAUUUCCACAGGACCU
Molecule: non-coding RNA, 480 nt
Organism: Carica papaya (papaya)
Lineage: Eukaryota; Viridiplantae; Streptophyta; Magnoliopsida; Brassicales; Caricaceae
Source: RefSeq, a predicted model, not a curated record